CUUUAUAAAUAUUUUGAUAUGAGCGUCACUGAUGAGUCUUAUGUAGACGAAACGCGCGUCUGGUAUACUAAAUGAUAAUCCUGGUACCUUUGAUAACUAUAUCCAAAUCAUUUAUGAAAAUAUUUAAAUAUGCCACUGGGCAAUCGCUAAUUCAAAACGGCGCGAAUUUGGAUUGUGUUAGUAAAUCGCAAAAUAAAGACGGUGCGA
Molecule: long non-coding RNA, 207 nt
Filed under: Mytilus galloprovincialis (Mediterranean mussel)
Lineage: Eukaryota; Metazoa; Mollusca; Bivalvia; Mytilida; Mytilidae
Source: RNAcentral